This 400-nucleotide ribosomal RNA is filed under the name uncultured bacterium. RNAcentral's name for it is "bacterial SSU rRNA". It matches the Rfam family "Bacterial small subunit ribosomal RNA", at positions 359 to 776 of the family's 1533-position model. The record is from RNAcentral.
GAAUAUUGGACAAUGGGCGAAAGCCUGAUCCAGCCAUGCCGCGUGAGUGAUGAAGGCCCUAGGGUUGUAAAGCUCUUUUACCCGGGAAGAUAAUGACUGUACCGGGAGAAUAAGCUCCGGCUAACUCCGUGCCAGCAGCCGCGGUAAUACGGAGGGAGCUAGCGUUGUUCGGAAUCACUGGGCGUAAAGCGCGCGUAGGCGGCUGUUCAAGUCAGAGGUGAAAGCCCGGGGCUCAACCCCGGAACUGCCUUUGAGACUGGAUAGCUAGAAUAUCGGAGAGGUGAGUGGAAUUCCGAGUGUAGAGGUGAAAUUCGUAGAUAUUCGGAAGAACACCAGUGGCGAAGGCGACUCACUGGACGAUUAUUGACGCUGAGGUGCGAAAGCGUGGGGAGCAAACAGG